Non-coding RNA from Hanseniaspora uvarum DSM 2768, 154 nucleotides. NCBI's taxonomy places the organism in Eukaryota, Fungi, Ascomycota, Saccharomycetes, Saccharomycodales, Saccharomycodaceae. The record is from Rfam.
AACUUUCAACAACGGAUCUCUUGGUUCUCGCAUCGAUGAAGAACGUAGCGAAUUGCGAUAAGUAAUGUGAAUUGCAGAUACUCGUGAAUCAUUGAAUUUUUGAACGCACAUUGCGCCCUUGAGCAUUCUCAGGGGCAUGCCUGUUUGAGCGUCA